CCUUGGAUGCAAGAGCACAAACACCUCAGUGUGAAGGUUUCCUCUGGAGAAGGAGCAUUUCACUAUCCAACAAAAUGUUUAUUCCAGGAUUUUGGUUGAUUUCAUUAAUCAGAAAAUGCAUUUUAGAAGAAAAUGAGUCUCUGAUCUCAGGAUUUGUCUGAUCUCUCACGAUUGGGAUGGCCCAUUCCUAGAGGGGGAGAAGACCUGGAAAACACUGCUAGACCAACUCAAAAUUACAAAGUUUUCCAGAGCUUAUAUGUCUUCUAAGCCAUAUGUCUAUGUCUGCAGGAAUGUAGACAAUUCAGAGGCUUUGUUCCCCAUAAUUUGGAACUUUUCUUCAGAUUUGACCAAGUCGGGUAGAGAUGAUCAAACCUAAUGGGAAAAAGACUGAAACAACAAAAACAGAAACAGGCAAACACAACCAGCAGGCAGUCCUCUCUGGGCAGACAGGAGCCACAGGGAGGCAGAACAAGAACAAAAAGCGUUCAAGAAAAUCAAGGGAAAUCCUCUCCAGCAGGGCAGUACCUCCUAUUCCUUAACAGCAUCAGGAAUGAACCUGCCACAGAAGAAAAGGAGAAAAGAACUGCGGGCAGCUUCCUGGGAACACAGCUGGGGUACAGGUUGAAAGCACGACCUGCCCUGAUAUGCUGUUGACGCUGAGCAUGAAGCGACCUUCUCUGUGCCUGUUAUUAAUGAAAGGUAAUAUUCACUGAACACUUAGUAUACACCAGAGACUGUUACAGCCACUGUAGGAGUUUCACCUCAUUCUAUCCUUUCAACAACCCAAUACGAUAGAUGCUAUUAUCCUCUUUAGGAUAAAAUCGAGGAAACUGAGGUACAGUGAAGUCAGCAUCUUGCCCAAGGUGACACAGCUAUAAAGUGACAGAGCCUAGAGGAAAUGUGGCUGUGGAGACCGUGCUCUUACACAGUAAGGGCAGUGACGGUGAACUCUGGAUUGCAAGGAUUCUCUGUGUCCAUUCUGAGAUGAAUCAAGAUUGGUCAUAAGGUUUUAAGUGUUGAAUCUGGGUGAUGGAGAUCUGGUCUAUAGAGUUCUAUCUACUUCUGGCUGUUUGAAAUUUCUCCGCAAUAAAAACUUAAAUGGAAUGUAAAAU
Long non-coding RNA from Homo sapiens (human), 1112 nucleotides. The record is from Ensembl. Lineage: Eukaryota; Metazoa; Chordata; Mammalia; Primates; Hominidae.